Molecule: ribosomal RNA, 429 nt
Filed under: Actinomycetes bacterium
Lineage: Bacteria; Bacillati; Actinomycetota; Actinomycetes
Description: Actinobacteria bacterium partial 16S ribosomal RNA
Rfam family: Bacterial small subunit ribosomal RNA
Source: RNAcentral
UAGGGAAUCUUCCGCAAUGGGCGAAAGCCUGACGGAGCAACGCCGCGUGAGUGAUGAAGGUCUUCGGAUCGUAAAACUCUGUUAUUAGGGAAGAACAAAUGUGUAAGUAACUAUGCACGUCUUGACGGUACCUAAUCAGAAAGCCACGGCUAACUACGUGCCAGCAGCCGCGGUAAUACGUAGGUGGCAAGCGUUAUACGGAAUUAUUGGGCGUAAAGCGCGCGUAGGCGGUUUUUUAAGUCUGAUGUGAAAGCCCACGGCUCAACCGUGGAGGGUCAUUGGAAACUGGAAAACUUGAGUGCAGAAGAGGAAAGUGGAAUUCCAUGUGUAGCGGUGAAAUGCGCAAAGAUAUGGAGGAACACCAGUGGCGAAGGCGACUUUCUGGUCUGUAACUGACGCUGAUGUGCGAAAGCGUGGGGAUCAAACAGG